This 497-nucleotide ribosomal RNA is filed under the name uncultured bacterium. RNAcentral describes it as "partial 16S ribosomal RNA". It matches the Rfam family "Bacterial small subunit ribosomal RNA", at positions 28 to 507 of the family's 1533-position model. The record is from RNAcentral.
GAUGAACGCUGGCGGCGUGCCUAAUACAUGCAAGUCGAACGCAUAGCGAAAGGUGCUUGCACCUUUCAAGUGAGUGGUGAACGGGUGAGUAACACGUGGACAACCUGCCUCAAGGCUGGGGAUAACAUUUGGAAACAGAUGCUAAUACCGAAUAAAACUUAGUGUCGCAUGACACAAAGUUAAAAGGCGCUUCGGCGUCACCUAGAGAUGGAUCCGCGGUGCAUUAGUUAGUUGGUGGGGUAAAGGCCUACCAAGACAAUGAUGCAUAGCCGAGUUGAGAGACUGAUCGGCCACAUUGGGACUGAGACACGGCCCAAACUCCUACGGGAGGCUGCAGUAGGGAAUCUUCCACAAUGGGCGAAAGCCUGAUGGAGCAACGCCGCGUGUGUGAUGAAGGCUUUCGGGUCGUAAAGCACUGUUGUAUGGGAAGAACAGCUAGAAUAGGAAAUGAUUUUAGUUUGACGGUACCAUACCAGAAAGGGACGGCUAAAUACGUG